Molecule: transfer RNA, 74 nt
Filed under: Pseudomonadota bacterium
Lineage: Bacteria; Pseudomonadati; Pseudomonadota
Also listed under: 2 other names
Description: tRNA-Pro
Rfam family: tRNA
About the family: Transfer RNA (tRNA) molecules are approximately 80 nucleotides in length. Their secondary structure includes four short double-helical elements and three loops (D, anti-codon, and T loops).
Source: RNAcentral
CGGGAUGUAGCGCAGCCCGGUAGCGCGCUUCGUUCGGGACGAAGAGGCCGGCAGUUCAAAUCUGCCCAUCCCGA